This is an RNA transcript of Gossypium raimondii (Peruvian cotton), 1240 nucleotides long. It is a transcript of the gene named adenine phosphoribosyltransferase 1, with no coding region annotated. NCBI's taxonomy places the organism in Eukaryota, Viridiplantae, Streptophyta, Magnoliopsida, Malvales, Malvaceae. The transcript has 7 exons. The record is from RefSeq and is a predicted model, not a curated record.
UCAAAGUUCUUUUUAACAACAUUACUCCUGUGAUCUUUCUCCCAAUCUCCUUCAGCUUGACCCUCCUUUUUGUGUGUGUGUGUGUGUGUGUGUGUGUUUCUUCUGCUGUUUUAUUUAUAGUCGUUGGCGGCUAAAAAAUGUUGCAAAGGGCUUUGAUAUUCUCUUCUUCAAAUCCAAUCUGUUCUCAAUUGCCAACGACAGCUCCGCCUGACAACACCGUGUUCCCCAAACGAAACGGCGGCUGGAUCAUCCCUUUCUCAUCCUACCAGCUACCGGCAUUUCGUUUGCGAAAUUACAGGCGAACCCUUCUUCCUCCACUCUGCUCAGCGAGUGACUCAGCAGCAAAUCGACCAAAUAUGGCGUCUCAAGAUGAACAAGACCCUCGGAUUUCCAACAUUUCUUCUGCGAUUCGUGUCAUCCCUGACUUCCCAAAACCUGGGAUAAUCUUUCAAGACAUAACAACUUUGCUUCUUGAUACCAAAGCAUUUCGUGAUACUAUUGAUUUGUUUGUUGAGAGGUACAGAGGGAAAGAUAUAUCUGUCGUUGCAGGUAUAGAAGCAAGGGGAUUCAUUUUUGGCCCACCUAUAGCAUUGGCUAUUGGGGCAAAGUUUGUUCCUAUGAGGAAACCCAAUAAAUUGCCGGGGGAGGUUUUAUCGGAGGAGUAUUCUUUGGAGUAUGGAAAGGACACAAUGGAGAUGCAUGUUGAUGCUGUCAAAGCAGGAGAACGUGCUUUGAUAAUAGAUGAUCUUGUUGCCACUGGUGGAACCUUGUCUGCUGCAAUCAGGCUACUCGGUAUUUGAAUUUAAAUAUGAAUAACGCGUAGGGGUGCAUGUUGUGGAGUGUGCUUGUGUUAUUGAAUUACCCGAGCUAAAGGGACGGGAACGGUUAGGAGAGAAACCACUGUUUGUUCUUGUAAGCUCCACUUGAUCAUCUUACAUAUUUUGUGGUGCAAGAGCUUGUUUAUUGGCCUUCAUUGAGUGUUGCAACAUGGCUAGAACUUUCCCCGAAAGCCUUGAAUAACUACUAUGUUAAAUAAAAAGAGCUACAUUAGGUAAAUAAGGUGAGACGUUAGAUUGAACUAAGAAGUAUGAUAACUUAGAUGUUGAUGUUUCCUGUUUCUCUAAAGAGCGAGUAUGGAGGACAAAGCUUUAUGUUCCUGCCUGUAAGGUUGAUUUGCCUUGUAUCAUAUGAUGAAAGGUAUAUUAUGUUGUUAAUGGCAUUGCUGUGUUUUCAAACUGAA